AGAGUUUGAUCAUGGCUCAGGAUGAACGCUCGCUACAGGCUUAACACAUGCAAGUCGAGGGGCAUCAGUUUGGUUUGCUUGCAAACCAAAGCUGGCGACCGGCGCACGGGUGAGUAACACGUAUCCAACCUGCCUCAUACUCGGGGAUAGCCUUUCGAAAGAAAGAUUAAUAUCCGAUAGCAUAUAUUUCCCGCAUGGGUUUUAUAUUAAAGAAAUUCGGUAUGAGAUGGGGAUGCGUUCCAUUAGUUGUUGGCGGGGUAACGGCCCACAAGACUACGAUGGAUAGGGGUUCUGAGAGGAAGGUCCCCCANAUUGGAACUGAGACACGGUCCAAACUCCUACGGGAGCA
Molecule: ribosomal RNA, 349 nt
Filed under: uncultured bacterium
Lineage: Bacteria
Description: bacterial SSU rRNA
Rfam family: Bacterial small subunit ribosomal RNA
Source: RNAcentral